This 301-nucleotide ribosomal RNA is filed under the name uncultured bacterium. RNAcentral describes it as "partial 16S ribosomal RNA". It matches the Rfam family "Bacterial small subunit ribosomal RNA", at positions 509 to 807 of the family's 1533-position model. The record is from RNAcentral.
CAGUCGCCGCGGUAAUACGUAGGGUGCAAGCGUUAAUCGGAAUUACUGGGCGUAAAGCGUGCGCAGGCGGUUAUAUAAGUCAGAUGUGAAAUCCCCGGGCUCAACCUGGGAACUGCAUUUGAGACUGUAUGGCUAGAGUGUGUCAGAGGGGGGUAGAAUUCCACGUGUAGCAGUGAAAUGCGUAGAUAUGUGGAGGAAUACCGAUGGCGAAGGCAGCCCCCUGGGAUAACACUGACGCUCAUGCACGAAAGCGUGGGGAGCAAACAGGAUUAGAUACCCCUGUAGUCCCUGUCUCUUAUAC